GUGGGGAAUUUUGGACAAUGGGGGCAACCCUGAUCCAGCCAUGCCGCGUGCGGGAAGAAGGCCUUCGGGUUGUAAACCGCUUUUAGUCGGGAAGAAAAGGCACGUCCUAAUACGAUGUGUUCUUGACGGUACCGGCGGAAUAAGCACCGGCUAACUACGUGCCAGCAGCCGCGGUAAUACGUAGGGUGCGAGCGUUAAUCGGAAUUACUGGGCGUAAAGCGUGCGCAGGCGGUUCGUUAAGUCUGAUGUGAAAGCCCCGGGCUCAACCUGGGAAUGGCAUUGGAAACUGGCGAGCUGGAGUGCGGCAGAGGGGGGUGGAAUUCCGCGUGUAGCAGUGAAAUGCGUAGAGAUGCGGAGGAACACCGAUGGCGAAGGCAGCCCCCUGGGCCGACACUGACGCUCAGGCACGAAAGCGUGGGGAGCAAACAGGAUUAGAAACCCCUGUAGUCC
RNAcentral lists this ribosomal RNA (450 nucleotides) under uncultured bacterium. Its description in RNAcentral is "bacterial SSU rRNA". It matches the Rfam family "Bacterial small subunit ribosomal RNA", at positions 354 to 796 of the family's 1533-position model. The record is from RNAcentral.